This 189-nucleotide unclassified non-coding RNA is filed under the name uncultured fungus. RNAcentral's name for it is "sequence contains ITS1". Lineage: Eukaryota; Fungi. The record is from RNAcentral.
UUGAUUAUUUUAUAAUACUCAGACAUCACUAAACAAAAGAGUUAGGGUCCUCUGGCAGGCACGGUCAGCCGGAGCCAACGCCGAAGCGGCGGCCCGCCAAAGCAACAAAGGUAUGUAUUCAAGGGUGGGAGAUCUACCCGUGAGGGCAUGAACUCUGUAAUGAUCCUUCCGCAGGUUCACCUACGGAAA